Molecule: unclassified non-coding RNA, 231 nt
Filed under: Micarea xanthonica
Lineage: Eukaryota; Fungi; Ascomycota; Lecanoromycetes; Lecanorales; Micareaceae
Description: partial contains 5.8S ribosomal RNA, internal transcribed spacer 2, and large subunit ribosomal RNA
Source: RNAcentral
CGCACAUUGCACCCCCCGGUUUUCCGGGGAGUAUGCCUGUUCGAGCGUCAUUACACCCUUCAAGCUCUGCUUGGUAUUGGAACUCAUCUGUCAAAAGAAGUUUCCGAAAAAGAGUGGCAGUUUGCAGGACUUCAAGCGUGGUGAAAUUUUACGUUCUGAAGCUUCUGUGAUCUUGCCAAAACACUUCAAACAUUUGACCUCGAAUCAGGUAGGGAUACCCGCUGAACUUAA